RNAcentral lists this ribosomal RNA (218 nucleotides) under uncultured Glomus. Its description in RNAcentral is "partial small subunit ribosomal RNA". The stretch from base 49 to 218 matches the Rfam family "Eukaryotic small subunit ribosomal RNA", at positions 693 to 864 of the family's 1831-position model. The record is from RNAcentral. Lineage: Eukaryota; Fungi; Glomeromycota; Glomeromycetes; Glomerales; Glomeraceae.
GGAUCAAUACGUCGGUCGUGCUUUUUUGGUACGCACUGGCGUCAUUGGUUUCUCCUUUCUGACGAACCACGAUGUCAUUAAUUUGGUGUCAUGGGGAGUUAGGACUGUUACUUUGAAAAAAUUAGAGUGUUUAAAGCAGGCAUUAGCUUGAAUACAUUAGCAUGGAAUAAUGAAAUAGGACGUUCGAUCCUAUUUUGUUGGUUUCUAGGAUCAACGUA